This 391-nucleotide unclassified non-coding RNA is filed under the name soil metagenome. Its description in RNAcentral is "partial contains 5.8S ribosomal RNA, internal transcribed spacer 2, and large subunit ribosomal RNA". The stretch from base 1 to 122 matches the Rfam family "5.8S ribosomal RNA", at positions 35 to 154 of the family's 154-position model. The record is from RNAcentral.
GAUGAAGAACGUAGCGAAAUGCGAUACUUGGUGUGAAUUGCAGAAUCCCGUGAACCAUCGAGUCUUUGAACGCAAGUUGCGCCCGAAGCCAUUAGGCCGAGGGCACGCCUGCCUGGGCGUCACACGUCGUUGCCCCCCCAUCUACUCCUUCGGGAUUGCGGGGGGCGGAUGAUGGCCUCCCGUGCGCCUCGUCGCGCGGUUGGCAUAAAUGCCAAGUCCUCGGCGACGCACGCCACGACAAUCGGUGGUUGCGAAACCUCGGUUGCCCGUCGUGUGCGGUCGUCGCGCAUCGAGGGCUCGAAAAAAUUGUCGGGCUCCGGCUCGGCUUUCAACGCGACCCCAGGUCAGGCGGGGUUACCCGCUGGAUUUAAGCAUAUCAAUAAGCGGAGGA